GAUGAACGCUGGCGGCGUGCCUAAUACAUGCAAGUCGAGCGAACAGACGAGGAUCUUGCUCCUCUGACGUUAGCGGCGGACGGGUGAGUAACACGUGGAUAACCUACCUAUAAGACUGGGAUAACUUCGGGAAACCGGAGCUAAUACCGGAUAAUAUAUUGAACCGCAUGGUUCAAUAGUGAAAGACGGUUUUGCUGUCACUUAUAGAUGGAUCCGCGCCGCAUUAGCUAGUUGGUAAGGUAACGGCUUACCAAGGCAACGAUGCGUAGCCGACCUGAGAGGGUGAUCGGCCACACUGGAACUGAGACACGGUCCAGACUCCUACGGGAGGCAGCAGUAGGGAAUCGUCCGCAAUGGGCGAAAGCCUGACGGAGCAAAGCCGCGUGAGUGAUGAAGGUCUUCGGAUCGUAAAACUCUGUUAUUAGGGAAGAACAAAUGUGUAAGUAACUAUGCACGUCUUGACGGUACCUAAUCAGAAAGCCACGGCUAACUACGUG
This 497-nucleotide ribosomal RNA is filed under the name uncultured bacterium. RNAcentral's name for it is "partial 16S ribosomal RNA". It matches the Rfam family "Bacterial small subunit ribosomal RNA", at positions 28 to 507 of the family's 1533-position model. The record is from RNAcentral.